GCCAGCAGCCAUAUCAUAUCAGCAAAACCGCAGCUCUCAACUGGCAGCCCACUGAAGCUCAGCAGGGUUGAGCCUGGUCAGUACCCGGAUGGGAGACCUCCUGGCAGGCUAUGGUUGCUGCUGGAA
RNAcentral lists this ribosomal RNA (126 nucleotides) under Lepisosteus oculatus (spotted gar). The record is from RNAcentral. Lineage: Eukaryota; Metazoa; Chordata; Actinopteri; Semionotiformes; Lepisosteidae.